RNAcentral lists this transfer RNA (58 nucleotides) under Heterometrus longimanus. Its description in RNAcentral is "tRNA-His". The record is from RNAcentral. Lineage: Eukaryota; Metazoa; Arthropoda; Arachnida; Scorpiones; Scorpionidae.
GCUUAUUUAGUUUAUAUUUAAAACAUUAGACUGUGGAACUAAAAAUAAUAUUAGGCAA